Molecule: non-coding RNA, 222 nt
Filed under: Lysinibacillus sphaericus
Lineage: Bacteria; Bacillati; Bacillota; Bacilli; Caryophanales; Bacillaceae
Description: T-box sequence
Rfam family: T-box leader
About the family: Uncharged tRNA acts as the effector for transcription antitermination of genes in the T-box leader family. T-boxes are found upstream of many aminoacyl-tRNA synthetase genes and some amino acid biosynthetic genes usually in Gram-positive bacteria. The anticodon of a specific tRNA base pairs to a specifier sequence within the T-box motif, and the NCCA acceptor tail of the tRNA base pairs to a conserved bulge in the T-box antiterminator hairpin.
Source: RNAcentral
AUACAGGCGAAGAUGGAGACAGUAUUUGUUAGGCGUAGUGAAGCGAUUUGGGGAUAGUGGGAGCCCAAACAUUCAAAUAACAAAGAACAUCACUCCUGAGCUGAAUAACUGAACGUUUAGUAAGUUAUUUCGGAGCGCACGACGUUAACGUGCUUUCAAGAGGUAGUACUUUUAUGUACUGCAACUAGGGUGGUACCGCGAGUCAAGCUUCUCGUCCCUUUU